Homo sapiens (human) is the source of this 2089-nucleotide long non-coding RNA. RefSeq lists it as uncharacterized. The transcript has 3 exons. NCBI's taxonomy places the organism in Eukaryota, Metazoa, Chordata, Mammalia, Primates, Hominidae. The record is from RefSeq and is a predicted model, not a curated record.
ACUGCAUGCUACUCUCUAGAGAUUGUCUCUCAACUGACCUAGAACUUCCAUAGCCAUCUGAUCACCAAGACCGCCUCUGAGAGGAAAGUUCUGAGAGUCUCACCUUGCUCGCAUCAAAACAGUUCCUAUUUAUCCUUUUUCCUGGAUCUGUGAUAUUCUGGACUGUUUCUGUGUUCAGUUGUGGCCAAGUGUUACAGAUAUACCUCUAUUUUCCACAAGAACAGCAAGCAAAAGAGAAGACAGGGAGGCACUCAGAGGAUGGGGAUUCUCCAAAGGUGAAAUGCAAGCUUAAGCAGUUUAAAUGUGUUGAUUUCAAAUGGGAUAUGAGCAGCAACUGCAAAUUAUAAAUCAUCCUGGUUAGCCUACUGAGAUCAGUGAGGAGAAGAGAAUGGGAGGAUCAGAACACAAAUGAAGUCACUGAUUACUUGGUUGCAGCCAAGAUGCAAAAAGGAAUAAGAUGUGCUUCUCUGCUCAGAAAAUUCAUAGUCCAUUGGGAGAAUGGGGUCUUCCUGGAUCAUUUCAGAACAACGUGGAAAACAAUGCAAUUAAAGAAUGUGUGUACAUAGUUUCAUAGAACCACAGACAAGGGCACCCAGCCUAUCUGGGGUGGGUGCAGAAUACAGAAUUUGAAAAUUAUCCAGUGGAAGUGAUUACUAAGAUGACUCAAAAACAGGACUGACGCAGGCAUGAACAGGGAGAUAUGAGCAUUCUGGAUGGUAUUGCAUAUGGAGGGAGAAAUUCUACUUUGGAACACUGACGUCAAGGCCAGUUGGGUGAGAGAUGGGGUUGGGGCAGUCAUCAAGUGCCAGACCACACGAGGAUGAAAUGCCUUGUUAAGGCAUCUGGCCUUUACCUUGUUGGCAGAAGGAAACCAUUGCUGAGUCUUAAAUAGUAGAAUGACAUGGUCAGGUAUGCCUUUCAGAUAACUCUCUGACAUGGCCUUGUAGAAAAUUGAUUGGAGAAGACAAGAAGAUGACAGGAGGGAAUGAGCCAUAGAAAGGCAGAUUUCCUUGGAAGAAAGAAAUCUUCUUCCAAAGAAGACUUCCAUAGGGUACUGUUACAGUAACCCAGACAGGAGAUGUUAAGGUCUGAACCUGGGUAUUAGUAGUUAGGGAGGAAAUAAAAUUGAGAAAUAUUACACUAUGUAAUUAGAGGGCACACCAAAUGGUUGAGUGGGAGGUGUCAAAGAGAGGUGGAUCAGAGUUGUCUUAGUUCAGCUACUAUAACAAAUUUCCAAAGACUGAAUGGCUUAAAAAAUAAUUUAUGUCUCACAAUUCUGGAGGACAGGAAGUCCAAGGUCAAGGCUCCAGCAGAUUUGGUCUCCUGUGAGGGCCUGCUUCCUGGUUUGCAAAUUGUUUUGUGGCUAUCUUCUCAUUGUAUCUUCACAUAGUGGAGGGCAGACAGAGAGAUCUCCUGCCACCUUCUCUUUUUAAAGGGUACUAAUCCCAUUAUGAGGUCCCCACUGUCAUGACCACAUCUAACGCUAAUUGCUUAUCAAAGGCCCUACCUUCAAACACCAUUAUAUUGGGGGUUAGGAUUUCAACAUAUCAGUUUGGAGAAGACACAAAUAUUUCGUGCAUAACAAGGGACAAUUUUCAUGUAUGUACAAAGGUCUUCCUUGGUAAGACCUUUCCUGACCACUCCACUAAAACUACAAAUCAUCCUUACCAGCAUCCCCUAUCCCUUCUCUUCCAUCUUUCUCUAGUGCUUAUAUAAUUUCAUUAUUAGCUAUCUGUCUUCACUACAAUAUGUGAGAUUCUUUAUGGCAGGGAUUUUGUCUCUUUUGUUCACUGCUGCAUCACAAUACCUGCAGCAGUGCCUGGCACCUACUAUGUACUCAAUAAGUAUCUGCUCAGUGAAUGAAUGCCUGAUGGUGGUGCUGAGAAAAACUGAGAAAAAAAUGCAGGAAGAAGAGCAAGUUUAGAGAAAAUGAUGCUGGGUUCACUUUUGCACUUUCUUUAGCACUCCAGGGAAAAAUAAAGCUAUGCAGAGACUCAGAAUGUUGGAUAUGACAGAGGCCCUAGAGACCAUUUGUUUUAGUCCAUUUAUGUUGCUAUAAAGGAAUACCUGAGGCUGGGUAAUUUAUAAA